Molecule: ribosomal RNA, 915 nt
Filed under: Penicillium simplicissimum
Lineage: Eukaryota; Fungi; Ascomycota; Eurotiomycetes; Eurotiales; Aspergillaceae
Description: eukaryotic LSU rRNA
Rfam family: Eukaryotic large subunit ribosomal RNA
Source: RNAcentral
UUGACCUCGGAUCAGGUAGGGAUACCCGCUGAACUUAAGCAUAUCAAUAAGCGGAGGAAAAGAAACCAACAGGGAUUGCCUCAGUAACGGCGAGUGAAGCGGCAAGAGCUCAAAUUUGAAAGCUGGCUCCUUCGGGGUCCGCAUUGUAAUUUGCAGAGGAUGCUUCGGGAGUGGCCCCCAUCUAAGUGCCCUGGAACGGGCCGUCAUAGAGGGUGAGAAUCCCGUCUGGGAUGGGGUGUCCACGCCCGUGUGAAGCUCCUUCGACGAGUCGAGUUGUUUGGGAAUGCAGCUCUAAAUGGGUGGUAAAUUUCAUCUAAAGCUAAAUACUGGCCGGAGACCGAUAGCGCACAAGUAGAGUGAUCGAAAGAUGAAAAGCACUUUGAAAAGAGAGUUAAACAGCACGUGAAAUUGUUGAAAGGGAAGCGCUUGCGACCAGACUCGCCCACGGGGUUCAGCCGGCAUUCGUGCCGGUGUACUUCCCCGCGGGCGGGCCAGCGUCGGUUUGGGCGGCCGGUCAAAGGCCCUCGGAAUGUAACGCCCCCCGGGGCGUCUUAUAGCCGAGGGUGCCAUGCGGCCAGCCCGGACCGAGGAACGCGCUUCGGCUCGGACGCUGGCAUAAUGGUCGUAAGCGACCCGUCUUGAAACACGGACCAAGGAGUCUAACAUCUACGCGAGUGUUCGGGUGUCAAACCCGUGCGCGCAGUGAAAGCGAACGGAGGUGGGAACCCCUCGGGGUGCACCAUCGACCGAUCCUGAUGUCUUCGGAUGGAUUUGAGUAAGAGCGUAGCUGUUGGGACCCGAAAGAUGGUGAACUAUGCCUGAAUAGGGCGAAGCCAGAGGAAACUCUGGUGGAGGCUCGCAGCGGUUCUGACGUGCAAAUCGAUCGUCAAAUUUGGGUAUAGGGGCGAAAGACUA